Molecule: RNA transcript, 5319 nt
Organism: Oncorhynchus keta (chum salmon)
Lineage: Eukaryota; Metazoa; Chordata; Actinopteri; Salmoniformes; Salmonidae
Gene name: forkhead box protein N3-like
Exons: 7
Source: RefSeq, a predicted model, not a curated record
GAGAGAGUCCGUUUACCCUCCUCUCUCACAUUCGCUCUCUCUCUCUCUCUCUCACACACAUUCUGCAUUGGGGACGAGGAAGAGCUCAAAUAACCGGAGUCCUGGAAAUGCGCGGAUGAGGACGAUGAUUUAUGACCGCACUUGGUUCGCUUUCCCCGGGCUAUCUCUCUAUAAACCUCGGUGUUUAAUUAGGGCUGAGGAAUACAAUGGCAUAUUUUAAAGGAAUUAACGCAGGAGUGGUUGUUCCAAAUACGUCUUCUAUUUGUACCUCCUGAUUCAAAGGCUAGAUCGUCAGGAGUCUAGGUGGUGGUGGUGGUGGUGUCCAUGGGACCCGUCAUGCCUCCCAGUAAGAAGCCUGAGGCGUCUGGCAUCAGCGUGGCCAGCGCCAGCCUCUCCCACCUCUACCAGGCCAGCUCGCUGCAGGAGGCAGAGGAACUCGACCUGGCCUUCCCCGCCCCCUUGGCCCUCCCCUUAGCACCCCUCACCGAUGGAGCCGCCAAGCCUGAGAAAGGCACCUCCACCCCAGGUAUGGAGGACGAGGAGUUGACCAACCUCAACUGGCUCCAUGAGAGCAAGAACCUGCUCAACAGCUUCGGAGACCCUGUCCUGCGCAGUGUCAGCCCCGUGGGGGGCGAAGGGGGUGUGGCCGGUAACCGCGGUGACGGGGACCACGACAACAUGCCGCCAUCGCCGAUAGCGGGCGGGGACCUGCCGUAUGACGACGAUCGGAACCCCAACUGUAAGCCUCCCUAUUCCUUCAGCUGCCUGAUCUUCAUGGCCAUUGAGGACGCUCCGUCCAAGAGGCUGCCGGUGAAGGAGAUAUACACCUGGAUCCUAGAACACUUCUCCUACUUUACCAAUGCUCCCACAGGCUGGAAGAACUCUGUCAGGCACAACCUGUCCCUCAAUAAGUGCUUCAAGAAGGUUGACAAGGACAGGAGCCAGAGCAUUGGGAAGGGGUCCUUAUGGUGUAUAGAUCCUGAGUACAGGCAGAAUUUGAUUCAGGCUUUGAAAAAGACACCUUACCACCCUCACGCCCAGGUCUUCUCAACGCCACCCACCUCUCCUCAGGCAUAUCAGAGCAUGUCCAGUCCUCCCCUAUGGCCAGGGAGUCCCUUCUUCAGAAGAAACGGAGGAGUCCUCCUACAAGUCCCCCAGGGAGUGAUCCAGAACGGAGCCAGAAUGAUGAGUCAUGGGCUGUACACGGGAAUACGACCACUACCCAUCAAUCCCAUAGGGAUCAGAACAGCUGCUGACAGGUCAGUGCUGUCCGGAGGCUGUCGGAAGCGUAGCGACAGCAAUCCCCCCUGUGACUCCCCAUUAGUUAGCAGCGACCCCAAGGAGGACCACACCUACAGCACCAACCAAUCGGAUGACGGCAGCGACUACACCAGCGACUCCAGUCUCCGCCCCAUUGCCCGUGACGUCGCCAACGAUUCAGACUUUGACUACGAGGACGACGAAGACGACAAGAGCAAGAUCCAGCUGGAGAUCAAGAAGGAGGAGCCGCGCGAUUGGCCUAUAGACACGUUAGACUCCACCCUUUCCAGCCAGCAGCACAACAAGAAGCGGCAUCACUUCCUGAAAGCCAAGCAGCGGAUGGGCGUGGCUAGCGACACCCUCCCGCUAAAAAAACGGCGCUCAGAAAAGCCGCCAGAGAGUGAUGACGAGGAGAUGAAGGAGGCGGCGGGUUCGCUGCUCCACUUGGCUGGCGUCCGGGCCUGCUUGAACAAUAUCACCAACAGAACCGCCAAGGGCCAGAAAGAACAGAAAGAACCCACAAAAAACUGACCACAGAAAGACAGAGAUAGAGAGAGAGAGACAGAGAGAGAGAGACAGAGAGAGAGAGAGAGAGGGAGAGAGAGACAGAGAGAGAGACAGAGAGAGAGAAACAGAGAGAGAGAGAGACAGAGAGAGAGAGAGAGGGAGAGAGACAGAGAGAGAGACAGAGAGAGAGAGACAGAGAGAGAGAGAGAGAGAGAGCGAGAGAGAGAGAGAGAGAAAGACAGAGAGAGAAAGACGGAGAGAGAGAGACAAGGAGAGAGACAAGGAGAGAGAGACAGAGAGAGAGAGAGACAGGGAGAGAGAGACAGAGAGACAGAGAGAGAGAGAGAGAGAGAGAGAGAGAGAGAGAGAGAGAGAGAGAGAGACAGAGACAGAGCGAGAGAGACAAAGAGAAAUACAAAACAUCACUUUUAAUAUAGAAAUGUACACUGUCUUUUUUCCAGGACAUCAGGUGAAUUCUGAAAGAUUUGUGGCAAUAUCAAAAACAAUCACUUUGUUUUCCUAUCUUUAAAGUUAAUGUUUUUGAAGGUUGCAAAAAAAUAUGUUUUUUUUAUUUGUUUUGUUUGUUUUUUUAUUUGUUUAAAGGAUAUUAAAGCCAUAGCCAAAACUUUUUCUGAUAUUCAGCUAAGUUAGCAGGUUUCUGUUGGCUGAAAAUAACACGAAUGAGAAACAAAAAUGAAAACUGCCCCAUCCAUGGAUCGGCUUGGUUGUAUGAAUAGAGUAGGGGGAUCAAAUUGUUACUCUUUUCAAAAUGUACCCAGUCCCAAACUAUUACCCUUUACAGGCUCAUCAGACGCAGCUAACACUACAUAAUACAUUUCAGCAGGAUCAUACACUUGUUAUUUCUGUGGAAUUUCCUGGUAUAAAGUUCUUAUGGGGUGCUUAUCACUGACUAUUUUGUUUUUACAGUGAUAUAGAUCAUUAAAAUGUAAUAAAGUAAGUAUUCAGGGUCAGAUCUUAACAUGAGAUUGAUGUCUAAGGCCUGCAUAUUCCUGUUAGGAUGUGACCAUAUACCUCAAUAUGUCACAAUAAAUAAGCACAAAUACACAUGCUAUCCUGGCUAAAGCAAUGUUAUAUUAGUCAACUAGUUCACUGAAGUAAUACAGGUAUAUGCUGAAGUAAUACAGGUAUAUGCUGAAGUAAUACAGGUAUAUGCUGAAGUAAUACAGGUAUAUGCUGAAGUAAUACAGGUAUAUGCUGAAGUAAUACAGGUAUAUCCCCUUUGUUCGGCAUCAGACUUUCGAAAACAAUGGUGCUAAUAUGUCGGCUAUUUAAAAAUAUAUAUUUUAAACCUAGUUUGCCAAACUCUGUCUUGUCUGUGUGCGAAGCAGCUUCCCCAGAUAUAUCUUUGACAUUAAAUGAUGUGAUGCUGUUAGCUUAGUGACCAUUAGCCUAGCUAAGCUCGUAGAAAAUAUACUCAUCAGUUAUCCUAGUCUAACUAAGCCCAUAGAAAAGACACUCGGUAGCCAGUUUUUGUAUGUCCUUCCUUUGUCGUGUCAGUAUUGAAACAGUGCCAUAUAGGUAUUGGUCAGCCCACUGAUGAUGGUAGCACUUCCUUAGCUAGCUGUCUUUCUGACUGCUAAUCACAUUUAGCCACUGGCACUAGCUAGCAUGCCAAGGCAGAGGGGACAGUGUUGUUUUCCCCUUAAAGGUUGACUGUAGGACUGUAGUGAGGUGAAGUUCGCUGGUACAAGUGGGAUGAAGGAAGGGUUUUGUUUUGUUCCUGACGUGGUCUUCUCUAAAUGUAAGCUAAUUGUGUUUGGUAAAAGCCAUCGGCUAAUAGUCUGGCUCGCGCUUAUCAGAGAGGAAAAUAACAGAAAAUAUGUUGAGAGAACCUCAAAAUUGUCCCUUUGUCCUUUUAUGAAAGCAAUGGACAAGAAUAACUGGAGUUUUACUCCAGUGAUAUAGUGAUAUUCUCCCCGUGGCACAACCACCUGAACACCUUGAUGUGUUGGAUGGGAAAUGAUGCUGUGAAACAUGUGAUUUCGUGUGAGAAGAACAGUCAUAUGACUGUGGAGCUGUUUAUUUUAGUGUUUGUUUGUGUUUACUAACCUACCCUCAUGACGUAAUAAAGCAAUUUCAUCCCGUCAGGAUAACACUGUAUAAAAAGUUAAACUAGAGUUUUAGAAUUUUUUUGCUAAGUUUAAGCAAUGUAGCCAGCAUGAUUUCUUUCUCUCCAAAUCGUGUUGUAUGGGUUCUGUAAAGAAAAAGAUAAAAACAUGUUUAUAUUCAGACAAAGAUCAUGUUUGGUAAAUAAUGUAUCUAGCAUGAAGCAUGAAUUAUUUUCAUAUAAGUAUCCUAGCGAGCUAAAAGGUUCUGCCUGGAAGUUCUGUGUCCAUAGGUGUGGAAUCCUUCUCUGUUGUUUUGUCUUUUUGAUUUGCUGGUUCCUUUCUUGUCAUCCUCACUCAACCUUGUUUUAACUUGGGCUUUGAUACAGUCAGACAAACUUAUUCAGGGACAAAAAGCUGGUCUGUUGGGCAAAUCUCUGUCUGCGAUAUGAUGGUACCUCUCUAUCCUCCCGUUGGUAGAUGGCAACUUCCUUCAUCCAUAGUGGAUAAAACUACCAUGUCCCAAUGUUUGUUUGUGGUCACUAGAUGGCCAUGUUAGAAAGGACACAACUGACAAAAUGGUCAGAUCUUCUUGGCAUGAAGAUGAGUGAUUUCUGCGUUAAAAGGACCAAACGUCCUCUGUCUUCUCCAGCAUGGCCGUAUAGUGACCUUGUGUCUGAUGGGUUCUCCCUGACAGGUGAAUGUUGAAGCCUGUGUGAUUAAAGGUGAGGUUGGGUGGUAGUGAGUGUCUGUUCUCUCACCCUUCCUCCUCUGUGUCUGAUGGCUUCUCCCUGACAGGUGAAUGUUGAAGCCUGUGUGAUUAAAGGUGAGGUUGGGUGGUAGUGAGUGUCUGUUCUCUCACCUUUCCUCCUCUGUGUCUGAUGGCUUCUCCCUGACAGGUGAAUGUUGAAGCCUGUGUGAUUAAAGGUGAGGUUGGGUGGUAGUGAGUGUCUGUUCUCUCACCUUUCCUCCUCUGUGUCUGAUGGCUUCUCCCUGACAGGUGAAUGUUGAAGCCUGUGUGAUUAAAGGUGAGGUUGGGUGGUAGUGAGUGUCUGUUCUCUCACCUUUCCUCCUCUGUGUCUGAUGGCUUCUCCCUGACAGGUGAAUGUUGAAGCCUGUGUGAUUAAAGGUGAGGUUGGGUGGUAGUGAGUGUCUGUUCUCUCACCUUUCCUCCUCUGUGUCUGAUGGCUUCUCCCUGACAGGUGAAUGUUGAAGCCUGUGUGAUUAAAGGUGAGGUUGGGUGGUAGUGAGUGUCUGUUCUCUCACCUUUCCUCCUCUGUGUCUGAUGGCUUCUCCCUGACAGGUGAAUGUUGAAGCCUGUGUGAUUAAAGGUGAGGUUGGGUGGUAGUGAGUGUCUGUUCUCUCACCUUUCCUCCUCUGUGUCUGAUGGCUUCUCCCUGACAGGUGAAUGUUGAAGCCUGUGUGAUUAAAGGUGAGGUUGGGUGGUAGUGAGUGUCUGUUCUCUCACCUUUCCUCCUCUGUGUCU